GUCUUUAACAACAAGCGCUUCGGAAAAAGAAACACUGCUCUGCCGAAGUCGGCCAUUUUGUAAAUCGCCGUGACGACUCGGUAGCAGUAAAGUGCCAUAACAAGUGAAGAAAGAAAGUGAAAAGGAAAAGAUGAACUGCAAACGGGGAGCAGAAUUACAGGUGCCAGAAUGGAUUUCACUCAGAAUUAACAGAUGUGAUCAAGCAGGAGAAGGGACAAAGAAGAGUAGCGAGAAAUUUGGGGGAUUUGGUGUUGAAGGUGCUGCGCUGUUUAGAGAGUCCAUCUACAGUAACAAGAUCCAAAGCAUUGCUCCUACUACUGCUACUGAUACAAGACAACGCACACACUCUGCUUUACUGCUGCCAACACAGGUCCAACGACACCAAGAAGAAGGAGCUCAAAGUCACCGGUUUCUGAGUCCUAUAUGUGGCUUUUAAAGUAGGAAUCAAAUUAAAGGAAGGAAAAAGACACACGGAGGAGGAUUGGGGAUUCUUUUGAGCAAUUAGUUUGACAAGUUUGCUUUUUAAAUCAGUUUGCCUUCAUAAUCUUUAUGCUUUGUUUUCUUUGAUGAUAAUUAUAAACAGUGAUAUCAGGAUGCGCUGUGUUGCGUGAAUGUGUGGUCUCUGCCCAUAAAGUUUCUCAAGUCACUCAAGUUUACAUUUACUAACUCUUCUUUUCCUGUGUCCUCAACUGUUAAACAAGUAACGU
This is a long non-coding RNA of Mugil cephalus (flathead mullet), 707 nucleotides long. RefSeq lists it as uncharacterized. The transcript has 3 exons. Lineage: Eukaryota; Metazoa; Chordata; Actinopteri; Mugiliformes; Mugilidae. The record is from RefSeq and is a predicted model, not a curated record.